This 245-nucleotide ribosomal RNA is filed under the name uncultured bacterium. RNAcentral's name for it is "partial 16S ribosomal RNA". It matches the Rfam family "Bacterial small subunit ribosomal RNA", at positions 524 to 768 of the family's 1533-position model. The record is from RNAcentral.
UACGUAGGAGGCGAGCGUUGUCCGGAGUUACUGGGCGUAAAGGGUGCGCAGGCGGCCGCGCGCGUGGCGGGUGAAAUCUCCCGGCGCAACUGGGAGGGGGCUGGCCAGACGGCGUGGCUUGAGGCUCGGAGGGGGGCGUGGAAUUCCGGGUGGAGCGGUGAAAUGCGUAGAGAUCCGGAGGAACACCGACGGCGAAGGCAGCGCCCUGGACGAGACCUGACGCUCAGGCACGAAAGCUGGGGGAG